This is a non-coding RNA of Nothobranchius furzeri (turquoise killifish), 554 nucleotides long. NCBI's taxonomy places the organism in Eukaryota, Metazoa, Chordata, Actinopteri, Cyprinodontiformes, Nothobranchiidae. The record is from the annotation of a RefSeq genome assembly.
GACAGCAGAGUUGCGUUCUUCAUACAAAAACCCAGGAUCAGAUUCUGUCAGUGGUUUUAAAUCAGAGCUAGAAUAAGCCCCGCCCAUCAUCUCACUCAGCAUCCACUGUCUUCCUAAAGCUCAGUCAGCUUAGCAGCAGCUCAUGACACGGUUGGAUUUUCACUAGUGUUAGUAAAGGUAAUGGGAGUAAAGUCAACAUGAUUACUUUGCUGCUUUUGUGUUUUGUCUCAGGUAUUAGUCUGGGUCUUGAGGUCCGCCAGUCUCCCUCUGAUCUCUUCACUAAUCCUGAUGGCAAAGUUCAGAUUUUCUGCACACACGAUAAAACCGACUUCAGAGUGAUGCUCUGGUACCAGAGGUCACCUGGAGACACAGCUAUGAAGCUCAUCGGAUAUCUGUACCACAAAGCUGUCUCAAUGGAGGACCAGUAUAAGGAUGGGUUUGACCUUACUGGGGAUUUAGGCGGAGAUGCGACAAAGAAUGGAUCUCUGCUCAUUAAAAAUGUAAAACCUGGACAAAGUGCUGUUUACUUCUGUGCAGCAAGCAGAGCACAAUGA